Molecule: ribosomal RNA, 397 nt
Filed under: uncultured bacterium
Lineage: Bacteria
Description: partial 16S ribosomal RNA
Rfam family: Bacterial small subunit ribosomal RNA
Source: RNAcentral
AUACGUAGGAGACAAGCGUUAUCCGGAUUUACUGGGCGUAAAGGGCGUGUAGGCGGUCUUGCAAGUCAGAAGUGAAAUUCCUGAGCUCAACUCGGGCGCUGCUUCUGAAACUGCAGGACUUGAGUGCUGGAGGGGAUAGCGGAAUUCCUAGUGGAGCGGUAAAAUGCGCAGAUAUUAGGAAGAACACCGGUGGCGAAGGCGGCUAUCUGGACAGUAACGGACGCUGAGGCGCGAAAGUGUGGGGAGCAAACAGGAUUAGAUACCCUGGUAGUCCACACUGUAAACGAUGAAUGCUAGGUGUAAGAGGUAUCGACCCCUUUUGUGCCGGAGUCAACACAAUAAGCAUUCCGCCUGGGGAGUACGGCCGCAAGGUUGAAACUCAAAGGAAUUGACGGGG